Molecule: ribosomal RNA, 460 nt
Filed under: uncultured bacterium
Lineage: Bacteria
Description: partial 16S ribosomal RNA
Rfam family: Bacterial small subunit ribosomal RNA
Source: RNAcentral
CCUACGGGUGGCAGCAGUGAGGAAUAUUGGUCAAUGGCCGUAAGGCUGAACCAGCAAAGUCGCGUGAAGGAAGAAGGAUCUCUGGUUUGUAACUUUCUUUUAUAGGGGAAUAAAGGUAUCCACGCGUGGAUAAUUAGCUGUACCCAAUUACUAAGCAGCGGCUAACUACGUGCCAGCAGCCGCGGUAAUACGGAGGAUGCGAGCGUUAUCCGGAUUUAUUGGGUGUAAAGGGCGCGUAGGUUGUUUUUUAAGUCAGCGGUGAAAGCUUGUGGCUCAACCAUAAAAUUGCCGUUGAAACUGGAAGUCUUGAGUAUGUGUGAGGUAGGCGGAAUGCGUGGUGUAGCGGUGAAAUGCGUAGAUAUCACGCAGAACUCCGAUUGCGAAGGCAGCUUACUAGGCCAUAACUGACAGUGAGGCACGAAAGCGUGGGGAUCAAACAGGAUUAGAUACCCUUGUAGUC